CCUACGGGAGGCAGCAGUGAGGAAUAUUGGUCAAUGGCCGCAGGGCUGAACCAGCCAAGUCGCGUGAGGGAUGACGGUCCUAUGGAUUGUAAACCUCUUUUGUCAGGGAGCAAAGGGCGCCACGUGUGGCGCUUUGCGAGUACCUGAAGAAAAAGCAUCGGCUAACUCCGUGCCAGCAGCCGCGGUAAUACGGAGGAUGCGAGCGUUAUCCGGAUUUAUUGGGUUUAAAGGGUGCGCAGGCGGAAUGUCAAGUCAGCGGUAAAAUUUCGGGGCUCAACCCCGUCGUGCCGUUGAAACUGGCGUUCUUGAGUGAGCGAGAAGUAUGCGGAAUGCGUGGUGUAGCGGUAAAAUGCAUAGAUAUCACGCAGGACUCCGAUUGCGAAGGCAGCAUACCGGCGCUCAACUGACGCUCAUGCACGAAAGCGUGGGUAUCGAACAGGAUUAGAUACCCCUGUAGUC
RNAcentral lists this ribosomal RNA (459 nucleotides) under uncultured bacterium. RNAcentral's name for it is "partial 16S ribosomal RNA". It matches the Rfam family "Bacterial small subunit ribosomal RNA", at positions 338 to 795 of the family's 1533-position model. The record is from RNAcentral.